RNAcentral lists this ribosomal RNA (253 nucleotides) under uncultured bacterium. Its description in RNAcentral is "partial 16S ribosomal RNA". It matches the Rfam family "Bacterial small subunit ribosomal RNA", at positions 524 to 776 of the family's 1533-position model. The record is from RNAcentral.
UACGAAGGGGGCUAGCGUUGUUCGGAAUUACUGGGCGUAAAGCGCACGUAGGCGGAUAUUUAAGUCAGGGGUGAAAUCCCAGAGCUCAACUCUGGAACUGCCUUUGAUACUGGGUAUCUCGAGUAUGGAAGAGGUGAGUGGAAUUCCGAGUGUAGAGGUGAAAUUCGUAGAUAUUCGGAGGAACACCAGUGGCGAAGGCGGCUCACUGGUCCAUUACUGACGCUGAGGUGCGAAAGCGUGGGGAGCAAACAGA